Molecule: ribosomal RNA, 531 nt
Filed under: uncultured bacterium
Lineage: Bacteria
Description: bacterial SSU rRNA
Rfam family: Bacterial small subunit ribosomal RNA
Source: RNAcentral
AAUAGAUACCCGGGUAGUCCAUGCCGUAAACGUUGGGCACUAGGUGUGGGACUCACUCAACGGGUUCCGUGCCGUAGCUAACGCAUUAAGUGCCCCGCCUGGGGAGUACGGCCGCAAGGCUAAAACUCAAAGGAAUUGACGGGGGCCCGCACAAGCAGCGGAGCAUGUUGCUUAAUUCGAGGCAACGCGAAGAACCUUACCUGGGUUUGACAUGUACGGAAAAGCCGCAGAGAUGCGGUGUCCUUUUGGGCCGUACACAGGUGGUGCAUGGUUGUCGUCAGCUCGUGUCGUGAGAUGUUGGGUUAAGUCCCGCAACGAGCGCAACCCUUGUCCUAUGUUGCCAGCGGGUAAUGCCGGGGACUCGUAGGAGACUGCCGGGGACAACUCGGAGGAAGGUGGGGAUGACGUCAAAUCAUCAUGCCCCUUAUGUCCAGGGCUGCAAACAUGCUACAAUGGCCAGUACAAAGGGCUGCUAUACCGCGAGGUUGAGCGAAUCCCAUAAAGCUGGUCUCAGUUCGGAUUGGAGUCUGC